Molecule: unclassified non-coding RNA, 329 nt
Filed under: plant metagenome
Description: partial contains small subunit ribosomal RNA, internal transcribed spacer 1, and 5.8S ribosomal RNA
Source: RNAcentral
UUUCCGUAGGUGAACCUGCGGAAGGAUCAUUAAAUAGUACCACAGAUUACAUAUGCAAAUAUGAAAAUCUACUACUAUAUACCAUUCCGAGUACUCUUUUUCCAUGUUGCUUCCGCGAGGCAGUCACUUCAAGUGGCCGUUUGCUCCGGAUUUCCCUUCUUGGAGAGCCGGCUGUGGGCGAGAUUUUCUUGCGAAAGGUCAAUUACAAAUCCAAUUAUGUUUUUAUUUUGUGUCUGAAUAGAUUUUUUUUUUCUUUCUUUUUUUAAUUAAUAAAUACAAAAAAAAUAAAAUAAAAUACAAAACUUUCAACAACGGAUCUCUUGGUUCUC